AUUGGAGGCUUGUAUGAUGGUUUUACACGUAAUAAUUACUUUUAUCUUUAAAGGUUGAAUUUUUGAUUUAAGUAAAAACACUUAAAUGGCCCAGGGGGACGAUAAGACCCUAAAAUUUUUAUCUGGCGGGGUUGAGUGGAGUGAUGGUUUAAGAUUUAAUCUAGGGAGGUUUGGCUGGGGUAGUUUUUUUAUAUAAACUAAGGUUUGCGUCGGCAGGACUUUUGGCUAAAAGGUCCUCUAUAUAAGGAAAAAUGGUGUUAAUUACUUUAGGGGUAACAGCGUGAUUUUUUUAGCGAGAUCAUAUCUAUGGAGAAGAUUACGACCUCGAUGUUGAAUUAAAAGAUCUUCGCGAAGCAGAAAGCGUGAGAGAGGGUUUGUUCAGCCUUUAAAUUUUUACAUGAUUU
RNAcentral lists this ribosomal RNA (404 nucleotides) under Oedicerotidae sp. BOLD:ADF8043. RNAcentral describes it as "partial 16S ribosomal RNA". The stretch from base 67 to 404 matches the Rfam family "Bacterial large subunit ribosomal RNA", at positions 2048 to 2606 of the family's 2925-position model. Lineage: Eukaryota; Metazoa; Arthropoda; Malacostraca; Amphipoda; Oedicerotidae. The record is from RNAcentral.